GUUUUUUCUCGGCCUUUUGGCUAAGAUCAAGUGUAGUAUCUGUUUUUAUCAGUUUAAUAUCUGACACAUCCUCUAUUUGAGAAUUAUAUAUUAAAUGGAUUUUUGGGCAUGAGUGCUACUUAGU
This is a small nuclear RNA of Anolis carolinensis (green anole), 124 nucleotides long. Its record names the gene U2. It matches the Rfam family "U2 spliceosomal RNA". From Rfam's summary of the family: U2 is a small nuclear RNA (snRNA) component of the spliceosome (involved in pre-mRNA splicing). Complementary binding between U2 snRNA (in an area lying towards the 5' end but 3' to hairpin I) and the branchpoint sequence (BPS) of the intron results the bulging out of an unpaired adenosine, on the BPS, which initiates a nucleophilic attack at the intronic 5' splice site, thus starting the first of two transesterification reactions that mediate splicing. The record is from Ensembl. NCBI's taxonomy places the organism in Eukaryota, Metazoa, Chordata, Lepidosauria, Squamata, Anolidae.